AGUGAACGCUGGCGGUAGGCCUAACACAUGCAAGUCGAAUGGCAGCACAGUGAGAGCUUGCUCUUACGGGUGGCGAGUGGCGGACGGGUGAGGAAUACAUCGGAAUCUACUUUUUCGUGGGGGAUAACGUAGGGAAACUUACGCUAAUACCGCAUACGACCUACGGGUGAAAGCAGGGGAUCUUCGGACCUUGCGCGAUUGAAUGAGCCGAUGUCGGAUUAGCUAGUUGGCGGGGUAAGGGCUCACCAAGGCGACGAUCCGUAGCUGGUCUGAGAGGAUGAUCAGCCACACUGGAACUGAGACACGGUCCAGACUCCUACGGGAGGCAGCAGUGGGGAAUAUUGGACAAUGGGCGCAAGCCUGAUCCAGCCAUACCGCGUGGGUGAAGAAGGCCUUCGGGUUGUAAAGCCCUUUUGUUGGGAAAGAAAAGCAGCAGGUUAAUACCCCGCUGUUCUGACGGUACCCAAAGAAUAAGCACCGGCUAACUUCGUG
RNAcentral lists this ribosomal RNA (492 nucleotides) under uncultured bacterium. Its description in RNAcentral is "partial 16S ribosomal RNA". It matches the Rfam family "Bacterial small subunit ribosomal RNA", at positions 29 to 507 of the family's 1533-position model. The record is from RNAcentral.